GGUCCUGUCGAACUCAGCUGGUAGAGCAUGGCCUUAACAAGGCCAGGCUUAGGGGUUCCAUUCCAACUGGCUCCA
Non-coding RNA from Merluccius polli (Benguela hake), 75 nucleotides. NCBI's taxonomy places the organism in Eukaryota, Metazoa, Chordata, Actinopteri, Gadiformes, Merlucciidae. The record is from the annotation of a GenBank genome assembly.